GCUUGUAAAAAAUCAAUGGAAGAAAUUUUUAUGAGAUUAUUUAUAAAUUCAUAAACAUUUCUACAGGUAUAUAAUCGAAGUGCAUGUCAAAUGGUACAGUACCACAAAACAGGCAAUGUUCCCAAAGGCAGUUGCUAGGGGUCCGGUAACCGGACUUCUAGACCUGGAAUCUAGAGGUCCGGUAAUCAAUAUGAAUGCUGAGAAUGGUAUUUACAAAGAGGAUUUCAGAAGUUUGCUCUCGUAUUUUACUUGUCAUUUUAAAUGCUUUGUAAGUGACAGGAAACAGAAGUAUUUAUAAUUCUUUAGUCCUUGAAAAAAUGGAUCGCAAGUUCGAUAAAUUAUAAAUAGGAAUUUGUACGCUGUACAUAAUCGGAGGCAUUUAUCAGAUAAAUAUAUUUAGACUCCAGUGGACUCCAGGUCUUGAGGUCCGUUUACCGGAUCCCUAGCCACUUCCUUUCCCCAAAGGCCAAACCAAAAAUUUCAGAUGCACUGCAGCACGAAGUCGUAAGCAUAUUAUUUUGAUGAAAAAAGAUCUUAAAAUAGGAUUUGAUAAAAUAUAUGAAUUGUGUUGAAUAUAGUAAUUGAUAAUUCUUCAAAUUUGAAUGUAAUUUAAACUACUAGCUGGGACUGUUACAAGUACUGUUUAUGUAUUGAUAUUGAAAAUUAAUACAAGCUACAUGUUAUAUGUACAAAGCUGUUACUGCAUUGGUUAUAGCCCUUUGGCAUCUGUGCGCCAUUUGUAAGCAUCAAUGUUAAAUAAAUAAGUUGUAUUUGUGAAAAGAGUUAUUUUAGACCUCAAAAGCAAUGGUCUGUGUUGAUGCUAUUUUCUCUGAAAGCAAACUGUCUGUAAUCUGCAGCCAUUCAGCUACUGUUCCAGAAAUUUGAAGGCGUAAAAAGUGAGCUGCCAUUACCACAGUACCUCAGAUAUGUAGGAACCAUGACAUUCGGGCAUUUCUGUUCUGUUGAAAUAAUACUUGAGCUGGAACCAUGACAUGAAAGAAGACCUUAGGAAAUAUAUGCAAGUGGAGAUUGAGACAUUAAAUUUGAAAAACGAAAAGACUUAUGAAGCAAAUAGCAAGUUCUGAAUGCUUCAAACUAACUGUUAGUAGACUUUGGAUAAUUUACUGCAAACGUAGUGCAAAAAAGACUCAGAUACAAAUGUAUCAUAACAAUGCUUACACGCCAAACUUCCAGGGCAUCUAUACAGGAGAAUUCAGUUCAAAGUCCAGGAGAUUUCAGAAUUUACAUUGUACCUAGUUUAAUAGUAUAAUUAAAAAGAUAGUUCUGAAUUCUUUUUGGUAAAUAUGAUUCAUUUUUAAAUCUACAAGGUAUUGUCAUCAUUUUUUGAUCUUUGUCAGCUUUGGUCUUGGUUAACAUUUUGGCUUAUGUUCUUCUUUUCUUCGAAAUUAUAAGAAAUACAGCUUUGAAACUUAGUUCACCUGUUUAUCAUUAGAUAGCCAAGAGUCAUAAUUCCCACUUCUGUCACGUUUUGGCAGAAUUAUGACCCCUUGUGUACCUAGAAAAUUGGAAUUUCUUGAACAUAACUCUGUCAACUAUUUUGGCUGAAUUAUGCCCUUUUUUGGACUUGGAAAUGGUGAAGUUUUCGUACAAGUCAACGUUGUGUCAAAAUUGUUUGACAUGUGGCUUUGAAACUUUGAGCACUUGCUUAUCAUCAUGAUCUCCAUUUGCAGACAAGAGUACAUAACUCUGUCAACUAUUCUGCCAGAAUUAUGACCCUUUUUGGACUUGAAAAUCAGUUAAAUUUUUCAUACCAGUCUAUAUUUUGCCUAACCUGUUUGUCAAAUGGCUUUGAAACUUUUACCACUUGUUUACCAUCAUAAUAUAUGUAUGUAGACAAGACUACAUACGGUAACUAGGACAAGGACUUUAGCUCAGUUAUGGCCCUUUUGUGAGAAAGAAAUUAGUUAAGUUUCACAUGCGAUUCCAUAUUUUGUCUAAACUGUUUGAUAUAUGGCUUUGAAACAUUGAACAGUCUUGCUUACCAUCAUGAUCACAUAUUGCCAUAUAUUGCAAGACUUAUCCAAAUCCACAAAAACAGGUACAUUGUUUGUCUAAUUUAUUUUUCAUCUUUUGUCUGCAAAUCUCUGGUAAUAUUUUGACCCCAUACUUCCAUCAAUUUUUCGAAUAGUCAAGUGCGCUGUCAACAGACAGCUCCUGUUUGUGAAUACUAUAAGAUCUAUUUGCUUUAAAACUUUGUACAUUUCUUUACUAUCAGUAAGUGAGUAAGAAGGUCAAGAACCAUUUAUAACACUUUCUAUUGCAUAUUGUUAAACGUCAAUCAAUUACAGGCAAGGGUAGACACCCGCAGGCGUUUCUGUGGUUCAUACUAAUUUUGACAUAUUUUAAUGAAUGUCUGGGGUAAUUUUGACUAAAAGAGGUUGCUUAAGUAUUAUGAUAGCAUGGUUUUUGAUUACUUUAGAUUCUGACAUUUGAAAGCAGUAUGGGUAAAAAAAGAACAUGUCAGUAAUGUAAAUGCUAUAAUCUUUUUACUGAGGUCUGAAAAACAAAAAGGAAAAAUAUACUUAUUUUGGGCCAAUUUUCUCUAGUUUGGAUUGAUAAGUUUUCAUUGAAAACAGCUGUAAUAGAACUAAGGUCAUUUUAUUUGUAACAUUUAUUGUAAACUACACUACUUUCAAGUCAUAAUUUGUAAUGAAUCACAAAAUUUUGAAGUAACAAAUUUAUAUUCAAUUCCUUUUGAUUUUGCAUUAUUUUUGCUGGUGGGUGGGGUAAGUCUAUUUAUAUAGUGUUUUUUUUCUCUAAAAUGCAGAAUUGUAUGUUGUUUUUCUAAUGGCUUUUACUUGCAAAUAUUUUAUACUACCAUAUUUAUAAUCUUGAAACAUGUAACUGAUGGAACAUACUGUUUUCAACUUAACAAUAUGUUAUGUUGUUUUAUGUACCUGCAAAUAUUAGUUAUUCGAAAAGCGAAGUUGACAGCUAAAGUUAUUGCAUUUUAUAUUUAAAAAAGGUAUAUUAAUACUAUGUAUUGCAUCAAACAUCUGAUAAGAUGUUGUUUUGUCUGUUGAAGUAAGCAGUUGUAUUACUUAAAUGUUUAAAUAGAAAAACAGCCAAAAAUAUGCAACAUAUUAGAUUAAUUUUGGUGCUAACUUCAGCUUUAUUAGACAUUUUUGAUAUUGGUUACCUUGAUAUAGUCUGUCUCGUAAAAUUUUAAAAUGCAUGGUGACCUAUUCUUUUUAAUAUUUAUUUCAUCUAUAUAUACAGCUAUCUUAAUUUUUGAAAAGUUUCAGGAAAGUAAAGAAUGUAGAAAGGUCUGUAACUCUUCUUCAAAUAAUCUGGAUUCAUAAUGGUUUCAGUGAUUUAUGUAUAGAUUUUACGAGACAAGAUUUAGAUUUUUGUCAUUUAUCUGCAGAUAACUUCGAUUAAAAUUCAAAUGUUUGUAUUAUUUUUCAAUAAUAUAGUGUUUUGUAGGUCAUAUAACUAUUUGGAAUGGAAAUCACUUGAAAUAUUAGCAAAAUAAAAUUUUGAAAUAUAAA
This is a long non-coding RNA of Mercenaria mercenaria, 3512 nucleotides long. RefSeq lists it as uncharacterized. Lineage: Eukaryota; Metazoa; Mollusca; Bivalvia; Venerida; Veneridae. The record is from RefSeq and is a predicted model, not a curated record. The transcript has 3 exons.